Dermacentor silvarum is the source of this 683-nucleotide long non-coding RNA. RefSeq lists it as uncharacterized. NCBI's taxonomy places the organism in Eukaryota, Metazoa, Arthropoda, Arachnida, Ixodida, Ixodidae. The transcript is spliced from 2 exons. The record is from RefSeq and is a predicted model, not a curated record.
AACCAGCCGUCAGAUCGCGGUGCCCGGUCAGCUUACGAACAACCAUAUUUGUUUGGCACUGAAGUUUCGUCAGUGUCGUAUUUUCUGUUGAAGUGCGCAUAAAGUAAAUGUUAAACUUUUAAUCUAAAUUGCUAACUUGAUAUCGCAUAUAAAAGGCCGUAAUAUUUAUUGACAUCAAAGAGCAGUAUCGCAGAGAAGGGAACGCGGCGGGUGGGAAGGAUAUAAAACUGCGACCAUAGUCAGCGGUAGUUGCGCACAGCACGUGUGCAAUGGCGGCCGCCAUGUCAAGGCGAGGCGUCACGCGAGGCGUGCGUGCGUGUUAGUGAAUUAACGAUGUGUUUUUAAGGAACCCGUGGUGUUAGCGCCUGCGCAGUCUCAUUCGUGGAGUAGUAUAUUUGGAUAGUUUUAUCUAUGGCUGCUGUUGUGACUUCCAAACAACCCAAGGCAACUGUUUUACCCCUGUCCUUCGCGGCUUUGUGGAUAUAUCAGCGUGCAUCAAUGUGCAGUGUUCUCCCCGGCGCCGAUUUACCAUUUCGAGGUUUUUUUAACCACUUCCUCAAAAGGACGCCCUUUGGUCGAAGUCAACGAAAAGCUCUCAAUCAAGAUUGCUGACCUGACGAAGAUCUCGAAGGAGGAAUCUGUAAAAAUACAUGCUGUGCUAAUAAAUGCUUUUAGCAAUUUUA